CCUACGGGAGGCAGCAGUGGGGAAUAUUGGACAAUGGGCGAAAGCCUGAUCCAGCAAUGCCGCGUGAGUGAUGAAGGCCUUAGGGUUGUAAAGCUCUUUUACCAGGGAUGAUAAUGACAGUACCUGGAGAAUAAGCUCCGGCUAACUCCGUGCCAGCAGCCGCGGUAAUACGGAGGGAGCUAGCGUUGUUCGGAAUUACUGGGCGUAAAGCGUGCGUAGGCGGUGAUUCAAGUCAGAGGUGAAAGCCUGGAGCUCAACUCCAGAACGGCCUUUGAAACUAGAUCGCUAGAAUUAUGGAGAGGUAAGUGGAAUUCCGAGUGUAGAGGUGAAAUUCGUAGAUAUUCGGAAGAACACCAGUGGCGAAGGCGACUUACUGGACAUAUAUUGACGCUGAGGUACGAAAGCGUGGGGAGCAAACAGGAUUAGAUACCCUGGUAGUCCACGCCGUAAACGAUGAUAACUAGCUGUUCGGGCUCUCAGAGCUUGAGUGGCGCAGCUACGCAUAAGUUAUCCGCCGUCGGGUAGGUACGGUCGCGAAGAAGUUAAAACUAACGAAAGAAGUUAGACGGCGUGAGACGUAGCCGACGGACGACGACGAGGGAGGUUAGG
This 609-nucleotide ribosomal RNA is filed under the name uncultured bacterium. RNAcentral describes it as "bacterial SSU rRNA". The stretch from base 1 to 516 matches the Rfam family "Bacterial small subunit ribosomal RNA", at positions 338 to 873 of the family's 1533-position model. The record is from RNAcentral.